Molecule: ribosomal RNA, 270 nt
Filed under: uncultured archaeon
Lineage: Archaea
Description: partial 16S ribosomal RNA
Rfam family: Bacterial small subunit ribosomal RNA
Source: RNAcentral
CGAGGGUGCGAGCGUUAAUCGGAAUUACUGGGCGUAAAGCGCGCGUAGGCGGCUUGGUCAGUCGGAUGUGAAAGCCCCGGGCUUAACCUGGGAAUUGCAUUCGAUACUGCCUGGCUAGAAUGUAGUAGAGGGAAGUGGAAUUCCGGGUGUAGCGGUGAAAUGCGUAGAUAUCCGGAGGAACAUCAGUGGCGAAGGCGACUUCCUGGACUAACAUUGACGCUGAGGUGCGAAAGCGUGGGGAGCAAACAGGAUUAGAUACCCGCGUAGUCC